This 254-nucleotide ribosomal RNA is filed under the name uncultured bacterium. RNAcentral's name for it is "partial 16S ribosomal RNA". It matches the Rfam family "Bacterial small subunit ribosomal RNA", at positions 524 to 776 of the family's 1533-position model. The record is from RNAcentral.
UACGUAGGGGGCAAGCGUUGUCCGGAUUUAUUGGGCGUAAAGAGCGUGUAGGCGGCCAAGCAGGUCAGCUGUGAAAACUCGAGGCUCAACCUCGAGAUGUCGAUGGAAACCGUCUGGCUAGAGUCCGGAAGAGGAGUGUGGAAUUCCUGGUGUAGCGGUGAAAUGCGCAGAUAUCAGGAAGAACACCUAUGGCGAAGGCAGCACUCUGGGACGGUACUGACGCUGAGACGCGAAAAGUGUGGGGAGCGAACAGG